AGAGUUUGAUCCUGGCUCAGAUUGAACGCUGGCGGCAGGCCUAACACAUGCAAGUCGAGCGGUAGAGAGGUGCUUGCACCUCUUGAGAGCGGCGGACGGGUGAGUAAUACCUAGGAAUCUGCCUGGUAGUGGGGGGUAACGUUCGGAAACGGACGCUAAUACCGCAUACGUCCUACGGGAGAAAGCAGGGGACCUUCGGGCCUUGCGCUAUCAGAUGAGCCUAGGUCGGAUUAGCUAGUUGGUGAGGUAAUGGCUCACCAAGGCUACGACCCGUAACUGGUCUGAGAGGAUGAUCAGUCACACUGGAACUGAGACACGGUCCAGACUCCUACGGGAGGCAGCAGUGGGGAAUAUUGGACAAUGGGCGAAAGCCUGAUCCAGCCAUGCCGCGUGUGUGAAGAAGGUCUUCGGAUUGUAAAGCACUUUAAGUUGGGAGGAAGGGCAUUAACCUAAUACGUUAGUGCUUUGACGUUACCGACAGAAUAAGCACCGGCUAACUCUGUGCCAGCAGCCGCGGUAAUACAGAGGGUGCAAGCGUUAAUCGGAAUUACUGGGCGUAAAGCGCGCGUAGGUGGUUUGUUAAGUUGAAUGUGAAAUCCCCGGGCUCAACCUGGGAACUGCAUCCAAAACUGGCAAGCUAGAGUAUGGUAGAGGGUGGUGGAAUUUCCUGUGUAGCGGUGAAAUGCGUAGAUAUAGGAAUGAACACCAGUGGCGAACGCGACCACCUGGACUGAUACUGACACUGAGUGCGAAAGCGUGGGGAGCAACAGAUAGAUACCCUGUAGUCCACGCCGUAAACGAUGUCACUAGCCGUUGGGAGUCUGACU
Molecule: ribosomal RNA, 827 nt
Filed under: uncultured bacterium
Lineage: Bacteria
Description: bacterial SSU rRNA
Rfam family: Bacterial small subunit ribosomal RNA
Source: RNAcentral